This 1137-nucleotide ribosomal RNA is filed under the name bacterium enrichment culture clone F8. Its description in RNAcentral is "bacterial SSU rRNA". It matches the Rfam family "Bacterial small subunit ribosomal RNA", at positions 9 to 1153 of the family's 1533-position model. The record is from RNAcentral.
GAGUUUGAUCCUGGCUCAGGAUGAACGCUAGCGGGAGGCUUAACACAUGCAAGUCGAGCGGUAUUGACCUUCGGGUCGAGAGAGCGGCGCACGGGUGCGUAACGCGUAUGCAACCUGCCUUAUGCAGGGGGAUAGCCCGGGGAAACCCGGAUUAAUACCCCAUAGAUCAGUAGUAUCGCAUGGUACAGCUGGUAAAGAUUCAUCGGCAUAAGAUGGGCAUGCGUCUGAUUAGCUAGUUGGUAGGGUAACGGCCUACCAAGGCGACGAUCAGUAGGGGUUCUGAGAGGAUUAUCCCCCACACUGGUACUGAGACACGGACCAGACUCCUACGGGAGGCAGCAGUGAGGAAUAUUGGUCAAUGGGCGCAAGCCUGAACCAGCCAUCCCGCGUGAAGGAUGAAUGCCUUAUGGGUUGUAAACUUCUUUUGUACCUGAAGAAACUCUGGGUCGUGACCUGGACUGCCGGUAGGGUACGAAUAAGCAUCGGCUAACUCCGUGCCAGCAGCCGCGGUAAUACGGAGGAUGCAAGGGUUAUCCGGAUUUAUUGGGGUUUAAAGGGUGCGCAGGUGGUUGAAUAAGUCAGUGGUGAAAGUCUGCCGCUUAACGGUAGGAUUGCCAUUGAUACUGUUUGACUUGAGUUUAGGUGAGGUAGGCGGAAUGUGUAGUGUAGCGGUGAAAUGCAUAGAUAUUACACAGAACACCGAUUGCGAAGGCAGCUUACUAAUCUACAACUGACACUGAGGCACGAAAGCGUGGGGAUCAAACAGGAUUAGAUACCCUGGUAGACACGCUGUAAACGAUGAUCACUCGCUGUUUGCGAUAUACAGUAAGCGGCUAAGCGAAAGCGAUAAGUGAUCCACCUGGGGAGUACGAUCGCAAGGUUGAAACUCAAAGGAAUUGACGGGGGCCCGCACAAGCGGAGGAACAUGUGGUUUAAUUCGAUGAUACGCGAGGAACCUUACCUGGGCUUAAAUGGGGAGUGACAGCUGGCGAAAGUUGGUUUUCUUCGGACACUCUUCAAGGUGCUGCAUGGUUGUCGUCAGCUCGUGCCGUGAGGUGUCGGGUUAAGUCCCAUAACGAGCGCAACCCUUACUGUUAGUUGCCAGCGGGUAGAGCCGGGAACUCUAACGGGACUGCC